Oncorhynchus tshawytscha (Chinook salmon) is the source of this 350-nucleotide long non-coding RNA. The record is from Ensembl. NCBI's taxonomy places the organism in Eukaryota, Metazoa, Chordata, Actinopteri, Salmoniformes, Salmonidae.
AAUGGAGGGGAGUGUAUCAGACGAAAUAUCAGGACAAUUUUCAUUCAAGACGGCCCAAUAAAAAAUAUUUAUUAGGAAGAAAGAAUCUUCAGCUCCUCAAGCACUGUCAUUAAAGCCUUUCAACUGUGUAGAGUUAAGAUGUGGGGGAGUAUGAUGAGCUGAUUGAUGAGCGUUGAUCAUGAAGCCCAGAGUAAGUGCAGCCUGGUCCAUCACAGAGUCUAUGACCCUACCUGUAAGUAUAUACUUGUGUGAAUAAUAAUAUCAUGUUUUUUAUUGAUCUUGUCAAUAAUAUUAGUAGUGAUUGUAUUAUUAGUAACAUCCAGCCUGCAUGAUGCCUGUUUUUUUGUGAA